GAUGAACGCUGGCGGCGUGCCUAAUACAUGCAAGUCGAGCGAACGGACGAGAAGCUUGCUUCUCUGAUGUUAGCGGCGGACGGGUGAGUAACACGUGGAUAACCUACCUAUAAGACUGGGAUAACUUCGGGAAACCGGAGCUAAUACCGGAUAAUAUUUUGAACCGCAUGGUUCAAAAGUGAAAGACGGUCUUGCUGUCACUUAUAGAUGGAUCCGCGCUGCAUUAGCUAGUUGGUAAGGUAACGGCUUACCAAGGCAACGAUGCAUAGCCGACCUGAGAGGGUGAUCGGCCACACUGGAACUGAGACACGGUCCAGACUCCUACGGGAGGCAGCAGUAGGGAAUCUUCCGCAAUGGGCGAAAGCCUGACGGAGCAACGCCGCGUGAGUGAUGAAGGUCUUCGGAUCGUAAAACUCUGUUAUUAGGGAAGAACAUAUGUGUAAGUAACUGUGCACAUCUUGACGGUACCUAAUCAGAAAGCCACGGCUAACUACGUGCCAGCAGCCGCGGUAAUACGUAGGUGGCAAGCGUUAUCCGGAAUUAUUGGGCGUAAAGCGUGCGUAGGCGGUUUUUUAAGUCUGAUGUGAAAGCCCACGGCUCAACCGUGGAGGGUCAUUGGAAACUGGAAAACUUGAGUGCAGAAGAGGAAAGUGGAAUUCCAUGUGUAGCGGUGAAAUGCGCAGAGAUAUGGAGGAACACCAGUGGCGAAGGCGACUUUCUGGUCUGUAACUGACGCUGAUGUGCGAAAGCGUGGGGAUCAAACAGGAUUAGAUACCCUGGUAGUCCACGCCGUAAACGAUGAGUGCUAAGUGUUAGGGGGUUUCCGCCCCUUAGUGCUGCAGCUAACGCAUUAAGCACUCCGCCUGGGGAGUACGACCGCAAGGUUGAAACUCAAAGGAAUUGACGGGGACCCGCACAAGCGGUGGAGCAUGUGGUUUAAUUCGAAGCAACGCGAAGAACCUUACCAAAUCUUGACAUCCUUUGACAACUCUAGAGAUAGAGCUUUCCCCUUCGGGGGACAAAGUGACAGGUGGUGCAUGGUUGUCGUCAGCUCGUGUCGUGAGAUGUUGGGUUAAGUCCCGCAACGAGCGCAACCCUUAAGCUUAGUUGCCAUCAUUAAGUUGGGCACUCUAAGUUGACUGCCGGUGACAAACCGGAGGAAGGUGGGGAUGACGUCAAAUCAUCAUGCCCCUUAUGAUUUGGGCUACACACGUGCUACAAUGGACAAUACAAAGGGCAGCGAAACCGUGAGGUCAAGCAAAUCCCAUAAAGUUGUUCUCAGUUCGGAUUGUAGUCUGCAACUCGACUACAUGAAGCUGGAAUCGCUAGUAAUCGUAGAUCAGCAUGCUACGGUGAAUACGUUCCCGGGUCU
RNAcentral lists this ribosomal RNA (1372 nucleotides) under uncultured bacterium. RNAcentral describes it as "bacterial SSU rRNA". It matches the Rfam family "Bacterial small subunit ribosomal RNA", at positions 28 to 1381 of the family's 1533-position model. The record is from RNAcentral.